GUGGGGAAUCUUGCGCAAUGGGCGAAAGCCUGACGCAGCCAUGCCGCGUGAAUGAUGAUGGUCUUAGGAUUGUAAAAUUCUUUCACCGGGGACGAUAAUGACGGUACCCGGAGAAGAAGCUCCGGCUAACUUCGUGCCAGCAGCCGCGGGAAUACGAAGGGGGCUAGCGUUGCUCGGAAUUACUGGGCGUAAAGGGCGCGUAGGCGGACAGCUUAGUCAGAGGUGAAAGACAAGGGCUCAACCUUGGAAUUGCCUUUGAUACUGGCUGUCUUGAGUUUGGGAGAGGUUAGUGGAACUCCGAGUGUAGAGGUGAAAUUCGUAGAUAUUCGGAAGAACACCAGUGGCGAAGGCGACUCACUGGCCCAAUACUGACGCUGAGGCGCGAAAGCGUGGGGAGCAAACAGGAUUAGAUACCCCGGUAGUCC
This 425-nucleotide ribosomal RNA is filed under the name uncultured bacterium. RNAcentral's name for it is "partial 16S ribosomal RNA". It matches the Rfam family "Bacterial small subunit ribosomal RNA", at positions 354 to 796 of the family's 1533-position model. The record is from RNAcentral.